GUUGACCUCGGAUCAGGUAGGAAUACCCGCUGAACUUAAGCAUAUCAAAAGGCCGGAGGAA
Molecule: ribosomal RNA, 61 nt
Filed under: Fusarium oxysporum
Lineage: Eukaryota; Fungi; Ascomycota; Sordariomycetes; Hypocreales; Nectriaceae
Also listed under: 2 other names
Description: partial 28S ribosomal RNA
Source: RNAcentral